Molecule: long non-coding RNA, 681 nt
Filed under: Cercocebus atys (sooty mangabey)
Lineage: Eukaryota; Metazoa; Chordata; Mammalia; Primates; Cercopithecidae
Description: lncRNA (ENSCATG00000045420.1)
Source: RNAcentral
UUUAAAAAUAAAAAAUGUAGCAGAACUCACUGUGAUAAAACUAGAUAAAAAUGUAAGUGAUGUUUUGCACCUAGUUCCAUCGUAGGAGUUGUUUUCUACCUUGUUUUUAACAGAGUUGAUGAGAAUUAAUCUCUGAGUUGAGUAAAAAUCAAGGCAUAACAAGCAAAAUUAAAAACAACCUCAUUUUAAUGUAGGACACAUUAUGAAUGCAUUAGUAGGUCAAUGCUUAGACCUAUUUGUCUUUUGACUUACAGAUAUAAAUGGAGGACUUGGGACACACCUAACAGUUAAUGGCAAUGAAGUCCCCGUGACCAAGAGACCAUCCUCCUCCAGCAUUGCUCAUCCUAGAGAGAUAAGAGACCAUCCUCCUCCAGCAUUGCUCAUCCUAGAGAGAUAUUUCUAUCGGUUUAUCAGUGUCUUCUUUGAUAUUUCCAUCUGCCCUUAUUUGGCUUCAUUUUCUUUUAACCAGAGUAACCCUUGAUCAUCAAGACAGAAUCUCAAAAGAAUAGGUGUGUUUACUCACAACUCUGACUUAAGCUGUUUCAUUGUACAUUUUCUUUUCAGGACUGGUAACACAGUUUGGGCCAAAUGCUCUCACAGGUUUAGGUAAUUCUUUAUUCAGGAGUUUCCAGGACUUGAAGAACUUGUAGCAUGUACAAUCACUUUCCAGAAACAUUCGGG